Xiphophorus hellerii (green swordtail) is the source of this 2486-nucleotide long non-coding RNA. RefSeq lists it as uncharacterized. The record is from RefSeq and is a predicted model, not a curated record. The transcript is spliced from 2 exons. Lineage: Eukaryota; Metazoa; Chordata; Actinopteri; Cyprinodontiformes; Poeciliidae.
GUGGUAAAAUAUAGCUGAGGGGGGAAAAAGGCAGUUUCAAAUCUGUCAGCUCAGUCAUGGGGAAAGCUAAGUAACAUGUAGAGUGGAGAACAACCAUAUCCCACCAUUACUAGAAGUAGAGCUUUGGUAUACACCUGUAACAGUCCCACAGGGCAUUCGGAAGGAAAUUGAACCCACACUGCUUCAGUUCAUUGAGUUCUGGACUUUGACUAGAUCAGAGAUCUCCAUCUCCAGUCCUCAGGAACAACUCACCCUGCAACCUUUCAAUAAUUCUCUACACCAACAUAGCUGAAUCAAAUGAUUGAAUGACAUAUUUAGCAUGUCAUCAACUUUGGCAAAGAUCUGGUAAUUAGUCAUUCAUUUAAUUUAGUUAUUUUGGAGCAGGGUAACAUCGCAAAUCUGCAGGACACUAACUUUCAAGUACUAGGGUUGUACUAGGUAGAUCCCUGGACCAGAUUAUUGCAACGCCUUGAUUUUGUUUAUUUAGAUAUCAGCAGUGAUUUUGCAGCUUGUGGAUCAUUGGUCUGUUUAUGAUCAAAAUUUUGACAGCUGGACAGAAUGCCUCAACUGUUUGAAAUAUUGACCUUAUUUGUAAAUAAGGUCAAUAAAAGACGAUGAUGUACUGACAAUACAGAAUGUUUCCAUGUUGAGACUUUUUAUCUCAUCAUAGGGAUCAAGAACUCUUUCAGGACAGAUUUAUGUUAUUUACAUCAAAUAUUCUAAUUACAUUCAGUUUGUGUUUUUUGUUUUGUUUUAAUGUUUCUGGCUUUAAUCUUUUCAAGUUUAUUGACAAUCAGCAGGCAAAAAAUAACAGAGGUCACAUUGGGAUAUGCUGAAAUGUAUUGCAUUACACGAAAGCAGAGCACCCUUGUCCUUUUUAAAGUGACUCGUUUUGACAUUAUGCUUUUUGAGUCCAAGUCCGCAUAGCAGUGUUUUCUUCAUAUUAUUUGAAAGGAAAGUGCAUGUUUGGAAUGUCUGCCAGUCUGAAUAUCACCACUUUAAUAAGAGCUGAUGUUGUUUAUAAGCAGAAGCUGAAACCAGCAGCUUUCCCAUCUAUGACUACUGAUUCACAGAGGAGAAAGAGAACUAACUCUAACUCACUAACAUCCCAUAAAUUUAGGUUUCACUUUUUAAAAGCAUUGGUUUCUUUUUAGCCAAGUAAUUUUCAAGUCUUGGACAGUGACUCUUUAAAUCAUAUUUAUUUGUUGUUAAGUCCAAGCAGAAAGGCUGUACCACAGAAACUGAUUGGCAGAUUACAAUGAACUGAAAUCAAAGACAAGCUGGAGAGGCAUAUGGGUAUGAUGUGACUGAAACCUGCAACAGGCUCAGUGGUGUGUAAGUCUCAUGUUAGACCACAGGGUGGCGCCUCCUUCCUAUUUCAUGUAAUAAUUCUGUGUAAGCACUGGAGUCACGUUGCUCAAAGAGAAGAUCAGAACUUAUAUUAUGCACCCACUACCCACAAUGCAUCCUGAGACACUGGUGGAGGUGCAAGCUAUGGCAAACAUUACAUGGCUGAAAUAGAACUGCGCACUGUAGCUAUUAAUAAAGUUAGACAAGGUUUUUAAUAAACAGGACAUUAGUCAUGUGGGAUGGUGACAUGGAAGAAGCCUGGUGGACACACAAAUCAUUAUUUAUGAGAGGAUAUGAUGGAAAAUCCCAUUUUUACAACUAUCUAGGGAUACUUGAUUAUUGACGAUAUCAUUUAGACAUAAUUUACCUGUAGGAUAUUCCAAAAUAACAGCGGCUCUAUGUCAGCUCAUAGACAUGCAGUGCCUACAGUUACGUUCCAUUAAUUUGGGCUUUUUAUAUGGAAAUGUAACAGUGGACCACAGACACUGUAAAAGGUUACAGUGUUUAGUUUGUCUGACUGGGUCAUUCACAGUGGGAUGAAAGGCUUGAGAUGCAGUCUGAUAAAACUGAUGAACAACAAUGCUCUGCUGUGUGUUUCCACUUCCAACAUCAUGGUAUUAAGUGGAAAAAAUUCUCCAAAAGUCAAAGUCCCUGAUAAGUACUUUGAUCUAUUGUUGGCACGUGUUGCUCUGUCAUGCUGUUUAUAUACAGUAUAAUAUAUAUACAGAAGCUCACUGCCUGGUGCUAGCUCUCUAUCGAUGCACCACACUGUUCACUGUUCAGACUCCUUCAACUUCCAGAAAGUAUCAACUAAAUGCUUUAUGAGAUACAGACCUCACUAAAGCUACACAGAAUUUUUCAUUCUUUUUAUUUACUUAUUUGUUUACUGUUUAAUUUGUGUUUUUGAUGUUGUAAAGUCUUGGGUGUUUUGAAAGGAGCUGACAAAUAAAAUGCAUUAUUAUUAUUAUUAUUGUUAUUAUUAUUAUUAGUUUCAUGCUUAGUUAAAAUAAAUUGUGUAAGGUAGAUCACCACUGUUAAGUAACAUGUCACCCGGGUAACAGUGGUGGCAAAAACACAUUGGUAUAAAACAACUUGGAAAGUAGAACCAUGCUUCAUCUCAGUUGCUAACUGGCUUU